Molecule: ribosomal RNA, 484 nt
Filed under: uncultured bacterium
Lineage: Bacteria
Description: partial 16S ribosomal RNA
Rfam family: Bacterial small subunit ribosomal RNA
Source: RNAcentral
AUUGAACGCUGGCGGCAUGCUUUACACAUGCAAGUCGAACGGCAGCGCGGGCUUCGGCCUGGCGGCGAGUGGCGAACGGGUGAGUAAUGCAUCGGAACGUGCCCCGUAGUGGGGGAUAGCCCGGCGAAAGCCGGAUUAAUACCGCAUACGACCCGAGGGUGAAAGCGGGGGACCGAAAGGACUCGCGCAAUUGGAGCGGCCGACGUCGGAAUAGCUAGGUGGUGGGGUAAAGGCUUACCAAGGCGACGAUCCGUAGCUGGUCUGAGAGGACGACCAGCCACACUGGGACUGAGACACGGCCCAGACUCCUACGGGAGGCAGCAGUGGGUAAUUUUGGACAAUGGGGGCAACCCUGAUCCAGCCAUGCCGCGUGCGAGCAGAAGGCCUUCGGGUUGUAAACCGCUUUUGUUCGGGAAGAAAUCCUCUGGGCUAAUACCCCGGGGGGAUGACGGUACCGGAAGAAUAAGCACCGGCUAACUACGUG